UUACAGGCACAUUAGAACCAACAAUUAAAGGAAUCAAAAUUGGAAAAUUUAUUCAUCUAUCUUUUGAAACAUUUCUUCAUGAAAUCCAUAGAAUAAAAACUGUUGUGAUCUAUUUUAUAUUGAACAAUAUACCAAUGAGAUAACUGAACCAGAAACCGCGUUUACCGAUUUAACAUUAUCUUAUAGUAUCAGAGAAAUGGCAGGAGUUUUGGCGUAGCAAUUUAGUACCAAACCGGAAGAAUAUGAAUAGAUCGGAUAUAAUAUUAUAUACGCCAACUGGUGACGACUGAUAUUGAAGUUAAAAUACAAAUCGACUUCUGUACAAGUACAAUUGUAAUAACUCCGCAUAAAGUUUAUUCUAAUAAAAUGUCACAUAUUCCCAUUUGCAAGUAUGCGUAAUAGUAUUAUGAUGGAUGAAGUAAGUCGAGAAACUGAAAUGUUGUACUUACAACAACCGCCCACAAAAAAAUACUAAAACGCAUACCUACUACAAUAGAUUUUUUACGGUUUUCAUGUCUCGAUAAUUCCACCAGUUUCCAUUCAGAUGCCCAUAAUAAUAUAUCUAACGUUGACCGGAUGUUUGGACAUUGUAUAUUAUUGAAAAGAAAACUGAAAACUGAUAUCAUUAGGUAGAGUUAUACUAUGAAGAGUUUGUGGUGGAAGUGAUAAAAAUAAACCACGAUAUCAAUAAAAACUGUCAUUUGAAAAAGAAAAAAAUAUUUAUCUUUAUGACUACAGACAUUGUUUACGAGUUCAAAUCACGCGUAACUUCUAUGUUCUAUAAAGAACGUUUAUGAGUUCUACAUGAUCGAUUAGAUUCGAUAGAUUACCAGUGAC
Aphis gossypii (cotton aphid) is the source of this 837-nucleotide long non-coding RNA. RefSeq lists it as uncharacterized. The record is from RefSeq and is a predicted model, not a curated record. The transcript is spliced from 4 exons. Lineage: Eukaryota; Metazoa; Arthropoda; Insecta; Hemiptera; Aphididae.